Long non-coding RNA from Cucurbita moschata (crookneck pumpkin), 370 nucleotides. RefSeq lists it as uncharacterized. NCBI's taxonomy places the organism in Eukaryota, Viridiplantae, Streptophyta, Magnoliopsida, Cucurbitales, Cucurbitaceae. The transcript has 3 exons. The record is from RefSeq and is a predicted model, not a curated record.
GGAAGCUUCUAAAUAGUGAGUUGAUGUGCAUGGUGUCUUUGAAAUGAGGAUUCAGCAAUUUGUAGACUGGAUGCAUAACACUCAACUGUCUGCGAGUGGCAAUGAUGAACGGCUCGACAACUGCAUGGUAGGUGAGGGGUCUCACCAAUGGCUGACGAGUUGAUGGUAGACGGAGUCGUUGGCAGCGACGUGAGCUUUGGCAAGCUGCCACAGGGCAGCCUCCAAGCCCUCAGGUGCUGGCAGGUUUAGAGAGGAGCAACAUAAAGGAAGAGAUGAUAUAUAUAUGUAUAUAUAUACAUAUAUUACCUGUUGAAGGGGAAGACCAUCGAGGUUGUGUUCAAUAUCAGAAGCUUUUAUUGUACUAACCACU